RNAcentral lists this long non-coding RNA (954 nucleotides) under Aotus nancymaae (Ma's night monkey). RNAcentral describes it as "lncRNA (ENSANAG00000038848.1)". The record is from RNAcentral. Lineage: Eukaryota; Metazoa; Chordata; Mammalia; Primates; Aotidae.
UGCCACUGCACUCUAGCCUGGGCUGGAGCCACAGAGUGAGACUCUGUCUCAAAAAAAAAAAAAGAAGAAAAAAUAAAACAACAACAAAGGAUUAAUGAUUCGGAUCUAGGCUUGAAACAUGAAGCAAUUUUCCAGUUUUCCUCACAACUGGCCUAGAGUUCAAAACCAGAAUAAUGGUUAGAGCUAGUUACUACUUUGCUGACUUUCUCAUCCUAAAUGUAGUGCAGUCCAGACAGAAUGGAAUAUGGUAAAACUGCUACCUUUAAAUCCGACCAGUUCAACAGAUAUUUCAUAAAACAGGCUCGUGAAUGCUAUUUUUAUCUUGUGUUUUCUUGUUUUCACACUUUCAGUGCUUAAUUGUUUUUCUCAUUCAAACGAAAGUUUUAUCUGAAAACCCAUCCUGUGGCCGGAAGUGGAAGCAUGUGCCAUCUAGAGAUUAUACCACAAAAAACGGACGGCAAGUCUUCUAGAUCCUGCACGCGCCUGCUUUUGGAGCCCUGAUAAAAUAACGCAAUCAACCAAAACACAUAUGUGGCUACUUGCUCAUAAUUAGCAUGAAAAAAGCAAGCAAACUGAGGCUAUCUUAAUAAAUAAAAGAAAUAGCACAACAUUGAGAAUUACUGCCUCUGUUCACAUGGAGUCUAGAUUCAAGGAAGUAUGUGUUGCUUUUAUCUCACCUUGGGAAGUAGAAGAGAAAUGCUGGAAGUGACAAGAUCCAGGAUGCUACUGCACCUAGUUCCUUGGCCUCGUUUCCAGAAACCAGCCAAUCAGCUGAGCUGUGAAACGCUGCAUACCACAGAUGACGCACAUUUGCCCUGGAAUCUUUUCCAUCCCUCAGCAGUCUGUGACCCAGCCCUUUGCCAGCUGCUUGGGAGCCAACACUAAUGACUGGGCCAUGAGCAUCUCAGACGAGAAAACCUGCAGGCAAGAAGGAAUUCCUAGCAGGCAGCAUAG